This 426-nucleotide ribosomal RNA is filed under the name uncultured bacterium. Its description in RNAcentral is "bacterial SSU rRNA". It matches the Rfam family "Bacterial small subunit ribosomal RNA", at positions 354 to 796 of the family's 1533-position model. The record is from RNAcentral.
GUGAGGAAUAUUGAGCAAUGGGCGAAAGCCUGACUCAGCAACGCCGCGUGGGCGAUGAAGACCUUCGGGUCGUAAAGCCCUUUUCUGAGGGACGAGGAAGGACGGUACCUCAGGAAUAAGUCACGGCUAACUACGUGCCAGCAGCCGCGGUAAUACGUAGGUGGCUAGCGUUAUCCGGAUUCACUGGGCGUAAAGCGCGUGCAGGCGGUUUCGUAAGUCGGACGUGAAAGCUCCUGGCUUAACUGGGAGAGGUCGUUCGAUACUGCGGGGCUUGAGGUCGGGAGAGGGACGCGGAAUUCCCGGUGUAGUGGUGGAAUGCGUAGAUAUCGGGAGGAACACCAGUGGCGAAGGCGGCGUCCUGGCCCGCACCUGACGCUUAGACGCGAAAGCGUGGGGAGCGAACGGGAUUAGAUACCCGUGUAGUCC